AGGAUGAGAAGAUUUGUUCGGACUGAGCAGAGACAAAGACAGCUUGAAGGAAAUGAGAGACGAGAUGAGCCAUUCAGAUGUCUCUGCACUUUCUGCCAUUAUCAGAGAUGGGAUCCUUCUGAGAAUGCUAAAAUCGGGCAGAACCAGAAGAAUUAGGGCAGUUUGAAUUGUACACUGUCCUUGCCGUUAACGGUGCCAUGCAGCAGAUGUGAAAGCUGUUUUUUUGUUUGUUAAGAUUAAACUUUUCUUGGUGCUGGGGAAAUCUCUUCUACUUGCUAACCUUUAAAUUAUAUAGGAUGUGUGACAUUUGGAUUCAUGGGAAUGACAGAUUUACCCAAGAAUUGAGCAUGAGUCAAAGCCCGGUAGUUUGAUUUAGAAGGUAAUUGGAAUAGAUCUUUUAUUUUAGAUUUUCUAGUUUACAGAGAAAUUUGUAAUAAAGGAAAAUUUGUUAUCUUUAAUAAAUACACAGAACAGAUUAGAACGAGCCAUUGGAGAUGGGGGACUUGUUUUUUACAGGUGCAUGUGUGGGUGUGCAUACUCCUGAUGUUCAGAGUUCAAUGUGUGCUACCCUGUUUAUUUCUGCUUGAGGCAAGGUCUCCAUGAGGCCUAGCUGGUCUAACUCCUGGUCUUGCCUUUGUUUUCCCCUGAGUUUUGACACCAUAGGCUUGUCGGCAAGAUCUGGAAAAGGCUUGAUGUUCGUGUUUGUUCGUGCUGUGUAAUAAACAAUUGGUUGACAUAUUCCAAA
Molecule: long non-coding RNA, 745 nt
Filed under: Rattus norvegicus (Norway rat)
Lineage: Eukaryota; Metazoa; Chordata; Mammalia; Rodentia; Muridae
Description: long non-coding RNA NONRATT026964
Source: RNAcentral